GACAGAGGGUGCAAACGUUGCUCGGAAUUACUGGGCGUAAAGCGAGUGUAGGCGGCCUUGUAAGCCGGAUGUGAAAGCCCUGGGCUCAACCCAGGAAGUGCAUUCGAUACUGCGAGGCUUGAGUAUCGGAGAGGUUGGUGGAAUUCUAGGUGUAGAGGUGAAAUUCGUAGAUAUCGAGAGGAACACCGGUGGCGAAGGCGGCCAACUGGACGAAUACUGACGCUUAGACUAGAAAGCGUGGGGAGCAAACAGG
RNAcentral lists this ribosomal RNA (253 nucleotides) under uncultured bacterium. Its description in RNAcentral is "partial 16S ribosomal RNA". It matches the Rfam family "Bacterial small subunit ribosomal RNA", at positions 524 to 776 of the family's 1533-position model. The record is from RNAcentral.